This 76-nucleotide transfer RNA is filed under the name Anaerolineae bacterium. Its description in RNAcentral is "tRNA-Ala". It matches the Rfam family "tRNA". Rfam says of the family: Transfer RNA (tRNA) molecules are approximately 80 nucleotides in length. Their secondary structure includes four short double-helical elements and three loops (D, anti-codon, and T loops). The record is from RNAcentral. Lineage: Bacteria; Bacillati; Chloroflexota; Anaerolineae. RNAcentral also lists the same sequence under 1 other name.
GGGGCUGUAGCUCAGUCGGGAGAGCGGCGGCUUUGCAAGCCGUAGGUCGUCGGUUCGAACCCGAUCAGCUCCACCA